GUUUUGAGUGAGUGUAGCGUUCCCGCAACUUAUCGAAGUGGGAUUUUUAACAAUUAAAAUGUUGCGUUUGACCUUACACAAAAUUAUCUUAUGAAGACUUGGAAUACUUUUCCAUAGGAGCAGCAGAUUAAAUGCAACGAAACAAAUGCGUAUCCUAAAAUACUGAUGUCAAGGGGAACAGAUUGAUUGCUUUGCAGAAAUGGCUGUGGCGGGCAUCUGUUUGGACUCUCAUUCUGAUGGCACCCAUUCACUGCAGAGGAUCCAUUGGUGAGCAAGUGAUGGAAUGCUACAUUUCUCCAAAUCUGAUGAAGAAACAAACUAUUCUACCAAAUAUAAAUGUGAAUAUUCAAAUUCAUGUAGAUAUUUAAAACUUUUUUCUUUACUGAAAUUGUUGAUAAUAUAAUUUGUAAGAAAAAAAAA
This is a long non-coding RNA of Cyprinus carpio carpio, 420 nucleotides long. Lineage: Eukaryota; Metazoa; Chordata; Actinopteri; Cypriniformes; Cyprinidae. The record is from Ensembl.